CCUCCAAACGGGGAGCAUGUGCACGCUCAGUUCACACAUCCACUCACACCUGUGCACCCCUCUGUAGUUCUGUGGUCUGAAAGGCACAUGCCGUCUUCCUCCCAUAGUUCUACGUCUUUACACACACACCGUAGCAAAGUCUUAUGGAAUGUGCGCAGCGUUUAACGCAAUAUAAUACAACUUUCAGCAACGGAUCUCUUGGCUCUCGCAUCGAUGAAGAACGCAGCGAAAUGCGAUAAGUAAUGUGAAUUGCAGAAUUCAGUGAAUCAUCGAAUCUUUGAACGCACCUUGCGCCCCUUGGUUAUUCCGAGGGGCAUGCCUGUUUGAGUAUCAUGAACACCUCAACCCUCAUGGUUUGCUGUGAUGGGCUUGGACUCUGGGGGUUUUGCUGGCCGUGUGGUUGGCUCCUCUCAAAUGAAUCAGCUUGCCAGUGUUUGGUGGCAUCAGGGGUGUGAUAACUGUCUACGCUCAUGAUUGUCCACCAGGUGGCCUUCAGCAAUGAAGGUUCUCUGGAGCUUACAAACGUCUCC
This 530-nucleotide unclassified non-coding RNA is filed under the name uncultured fungus. RNAcentral describes it as "partial contains ITS1, 5.8S rRNA and ITS2". The stretch from base 179 to 333 matches the Rfam family "5.8S ribosomal RNA". The record is from RNAcentral. Lineage: Eukaryota; Fungi.